This 297-nucleotide long non-coding RNA is filed under the name Cicer arietinum (chickpea). RNAcentral's name for it is "long non-coding RNA (CARI_LNC003301)". The record is from RNAcentral. Lineage: Eukaryota; Viridiplantae; Streptophyta; Magnoliopsida; Fabales; Fabaceae.
CAUGAAAAAGCUGUUGGAUAAAGUCUGUCAUAAAGCAAGAGUAAUCACAGCUGCAUCCAAGAUCGAUCUUGAGAACCAGGAUUGAUCUUCGAAUUUGUUUGUGAUGAACUAACUUGUACUUUGUGAUUGUGUCAGAUGUCUGAUUUGAGUGCAUGCUUUUCAGUCACGUGUGCAGGUUUAGAAAGGUACAAUCAGUAGUGUUCUUUACAGCUUGUAGCUUUGUACUUGCACUUGCCUCAUUUGAAGAAUGAUAUUGUAUUAUGCCUUUACUGAAGCAUGUCUUUGAUUCUUCAAAUU